CACGAAGGGUGCAAGCGUUGUUCGGAUUUACUGGGCGUAAAGGGCGCGCAGGCGGAUGGUCAAGUCAGAUGUGAAAUCUCGGGGCCCAACCCCGAAACUGCGUCUGAAACUGAUCGUCUAGAGUCUCGGAGAGGGAUGGGGAAUUUCCUGUGUAGGGGUAAAAUCCGUAGAGAUAGGAAGGAACACCAGAGGCGAAGGCGCCAUCCUGGACGAGAACUGACGCUGAGGCGCGAAAGCGUGGGGAGCAAACAGG
Molecule: unclassified non-coding RNA, 253 nt
Filed under: uncultured Bacteriovoracaceae bacterium
Lineage: Bacteria; Pseudomonadati; Bdellovibrionota; Bacteriovoracia; Bacteriovoracales; Bacteriovoracaceae
Description: contains 16S-23S intergenic spacer region
Rfam family: Bacterial small subunit ribosomal RNA
Source: RNAcentral